Molecule: ribosomal RNA, 734 nt
Filed under: uncultured bacterium
Lineage: Bacteria
Description: bacterial SSU rRNA
Rfam family: Bacterial small subunit ribosomal RNA
Source: RNAcentral
AAAUGCGUAGAGAUCUGGAGGAACACCGAUGGCGAAGGCAGCNNNNNGGGCUAACACUGACNNNCAUGCACGAAAGCGUGGGGAGCAAACAGGAUUAGAUACCCUGGUAGUCCACGCCCUAAACGAUGUCAACUGGUUGUCGGGGAAGCAAUUCCUUGGUAACGAAGCUAACGCGUGAAGUUGACCGCCUGGGGAGUACGGCCGCAAGGUUAAAACUCAAAGGAAUUGACGGGGACCCGCACAAGCGGUGGAUUAUGUGGAUCAAUUCGAUGCAACGCGAAAAACCUUACCUACCCUUGACAUGUACGGAACCCUUCAGAAAUGGAGGGGUGCCCGAAAGGGAGCCGUAACACAGGUGCUGCAUGGNNGUCGUCAGCUCGUGUCGUGAGAUGUUGGGUUAAGUCCCGCAACGAGCGCAACCCUUGCCNNUAGUUGCUACAUUCGGUUGGGCACUCUAAUGGGACUGCCGGUGACAAACCGGAGGAAGGUGGGGAUGACGUCAAGUCCUCAUGGCCCUUAUGGGUAGGGCUUCACACGUAAUACAAUGGCCGGUACAGAGGGCUGCCAACCCGCGAGGGGGAGCUAAUCCCAGAAAGCCGGUCGUAGUCCGGAUUGUUCUCUGCAACUCGAGAGCAUGAAGUCGGAAUCGCUGGUAAUCGCGGAUCAGCAUGUCGCGGUGAAUACGUUCCCGGGUCUUGUACACACCGCCCGUCACACCAUGGGAGUGGGUUUCA